This 321-nucleotide unclassified non-coding RNA is filed under the name uncultured fungus. RNAcentral describes it as "partial contains small subunit ribosomal RNA, internal transcribed spacer 1, and 5.8S ribosomal RNA". The stretch from base 1 to 136 matches the Rfam family "Eukaryotic small subunit ribosomal RNA", at positions 1759 to 1831 of the family's 1831-position model. Lineage: Eukaryota; Fungi. The record is from RNAcentral.
GCAAACUUGGUCAUUUAGAGGAAGUAAAAGUCGUAACAAGGUUUCCGUAGGUAUGUAUAUCGAAAACCCGGCUAUGAAAAGUUAUAAAGUCUCAAAACUAACGUGCACUCUAGGUGAACCUGCGGAAGGAUCAUUACCGGGAAUUGGCCCUCGGGCCUAUCCUUCACCCAUUGUUAUAACCAACCUGGUUUCUUUGGCGGGCUUUCCCGUCAGAAGUAAUCUUCAACUCGUUUGAAUCAUGUCGUCUGAAAAUGAAAAUUCAAUCAAAACAAAACUUUCAACAACGGAUCUCUUGGUUCUGGCAUCGAUGAAGAACGCAGC